This 253-nucleotide ribosomal RNA is filed under the name uncultured bacterium. Its description in RNAcentral is "partial 16S ribosomal RNA". It matches the Rfam family "Bacterial small subunit ribosomal RNA", at positions 524 to 776 of the family's 1533-position model. The record is from RNAcentral.
GACGAACCGUGCGAACGUUGUUCGGAAUCACUGGGCUUAAAGGGCGCGUAGGCGGGCUGCCAAGUCUGGGGUGAAAUCCCACGGCUCAACCGUGGAACUGCCUCGGAUACUGGCGGCCUCGAGGGAGGUAGGGGCGUGCGGAACUGUGGGUGGAGCGGUGAAAUGCGUAGAUAUCUGGAGGAACACCGGUGGCGAAGGCGGCAUCCUGGACCGACACUGACGCUGAGACGCGAAAGCGUGGGGAGCGAACCGG